Cornus florida is the source of this 1537-nucleotide long non-coding RNA. RefSeq lists it as uncharacterized. The record is from RefSeq and is a predicted model, not a curated record. The transcript is spliced from 7 exons. NCBI's taxonomy places the organism in Eukaryota, Viridiplantae, Streptophyta, Magnoliopsida, Cornales, Cornaceae.
GUAUUAAAAACCUCGUAAAUAUGUAAAUACAUUUACGACAUAUUUGUAUACCUUUAACGGAAAAAAUGUUCCUCGUUGAAAAUUUCACAUUUAAGGCAUAUUUUUUGCCCCGUAAAUAAGCAGCCCCAAAAUUUUCCUCCUCGACGCCAAAAUUUUCCACUCCCGCACAAUAAAAAUCACUCAAAAAAAAAAAAAAAACAAAAACUAAACUUUAAGAGAUAUCACUUCGUCCUCAGACCCAUUCACAUUCGGAGACCCAGACACAUUAGGAACCCUCUUUCCCUUGGUGCAGUUCCCAGAUUAGAUCCACACAGCCAGCAUGUUUAUGCUUCUUCUCUUCAUGGUUGCUUUUGUUCAAUCUUAGAGUUCUGAUUCGCGCUUCUCUUCGUGGUUGCUUUUGUUCAAUGUUGGAGUUUUCGGCCAAAUCGCGUUGUCGGGUAAGCUUCACCAUCCCAAAUUUGGAGCAAUCAGAGGAACCUUGUUCAGACUCACACAUUGGUGAGGAAAUCAGAAAGUAAUGGAUCUUAGGAAGAGAUGGAGUGACGGAGAUCAGUGGCUAAAGUCGGGCAAUGGGCAGCAAAAAAGAUUGCGUAUGUGCAUGAUCAAACAUCACAGAAAAAGAUUCGCGCAUUGAGAGGGGGUGUUGUUGAUCAGUCUACUGUUGGUAGGAUCAACAAGGUCUUGCAACACCUCUGAGAGAUGAUGGAGGACAACUUGUCCGCACAGAGAGAUUAAGAACCAAAGAUAUAACACAUAGAGUAGAACCCAAGAAUUAUUGGCAGCUAUAUUUGUUCCUAUGGCUUAUCAGUGGAGCUUCCAAAUUCCGAGGUGCCUGCAAUGCGGUUUUUUCACUUGACGAUGAUCAGGCAGCUAGAGGGGUUGUAACUCACAGCAGUGGUAACCAUGUUGCAACAUUGUCUUUGGCUGCAAAACUACGCGGCAUUCCAGCAUAUAUUGUUGUACCAAAAAUGCUCCAAAAUGCAAAGUUGAGAAUGUCAUGCAUUACGGUGGCCAAGUUAUCUGGAGUGACGAUGACGCCACUAUGCAAUCAAGAGAGGAUACUGUUAACAAGGUGUUGCAAGAAACCGGUGCAGUUCUUGUUCAUCCAUAUAAUGAUGGGCGGGUCAUAAGGGGGCAGGGUACCAUAUCAUUAGAGCUUUUGGAGCAAGCCCCACAAAUAUACAUUAUAAUAGUUCCUAUGUGGUUUGUUUAAUGACUUCUAAGUAUUAAUUCAUCUUUUCUAUUCCUGCAUCAUCUUUAUUACUAAUUUGAUGAGCUUUCCAUUUUUUUCUGGUAAAAAAAAUUUAGGCGGAGGUUUGAUAUCUGGGGUUGCAUUGGCUGCCAAGUUUAUCAACCCUGCUAUUUGAGUUUUGGCUGCUGAACCAAUGGAGCACCUACUUGCUUGGAUUUUGUAUCGUGGAAAAUGAGGUGUUGUUUUUGACAAGUGCAGAUUGAAACUCAAUUGCUAGGAAAUUGAUUAUUAUUAUAAUUUUUUUUUGGCAAAUGGAUUUACUUCCUAUUUUGGCACAUUGAUCAA